This is an unclassified non-coding RNA of Fukomys damarensis (Damara mole-rat), 244 nucleotides long. Its record names the gene 7SK. It matches the Rfam family "7SK RNA". Rfam says of the family: 7SK was discovered as an abundant small nuclear RNA in the mid-70s but a possible function has only recently been suggested. Two independent studies have found that 7SK RNA binds the CDK9/cyclin T complex (known as elongation factor P-TEFb). P-TEFb activates transcription by phosphorylating the C-terminal domain of RNA polymerase II. Lineage: Eukaryota; Metazoa; Chordata; Mammalia; Rodentia; Bathyergidae. The record is from Ensembl.
UAACAUGAGUAAUCUGGCUGUGAUGCAUCGCCCCUUUGAUUGCCAGAGUUGAUUUGGCCAAUCUGGCUGGCUAGGUGAGUGACCCCUUCCUCAUUGCUCAACUUUUCCUCGUGAAGGAGAACCAUUCUCUGAUUAAGGGUAUACAAAUAGCUGCACUUCCCUUCUAGAAUCUCUAAACAAACUCUCAAAUUGUUCAGGUUUGAGUGGUUAAUAAUGUGUUCAGCCUAGCAACAAAUGACUGGUU